AAGUUCAAUGGGGCAAAGUGGCCUUGGGCCUAAAACAUGAAGCCAUGAGAGAGGGUAGAAAUCAUAAAGCUCAUUUCAUACUUCAUUAUACAUUCAUGCUCACAUGUCUAUUAUAUAGUCCUCACCUGAGACCAAUACCUCACUGUGCCGGAAAUUGCCUUUGGUGGUGGCGGAGGUCCAAAUGCCUCCAUACAUAUAUCUAUUUGUUUAUCUUGACACCCUCUCUCACAAUCUAACAACGAUUUCCUCUAAUUCCUACACAAGGUUCUGAAUCGAGCCAACAAAUCUAUAAACCUAAGAGACAAAAUCCAAAAUUAAAUGAUGCUGAGGAGUUGAACGGAGCUCAACACCUAGGGGUUUGACUCCCUUAUGAAGAGGCUACAUGGAAGCAACGAGUUUAAGAAAGAAAAUAAAUUGCAAAGGAUUAAUUAACCUACAAGAGUGACUUGGUGAUGUUGCAAGCGAAGGUGACGCAAAUGAUUCAAGAAAAUAUAGAAGAUCUUCAAUCCAGUAAGCACUUCGACUCUCAAAAUCUUUUAGGUUUCUGAUUUCUUCUUUAUCUUCUUCUACCCUUAGUUUGUAGGAGCUUUUGCAAAGGCUUUGUGUUGUCCUUGUUGUUCUGAACACGUAAGAGUGAGUGUGGAUAUGUUAAAGAGGAGAGAGAACUCAUAGAGAAUUGAGAAUUCAGAGAGAAUGAUUUUCAGUGGUUUUUUGUGAAAGGAAUCAUUUUUUUUUCAAUUGAAGAGUGAUUUGGGAAUAUAUACAGGAUAAUCCCUAACUUAUUCGGGCAGGCUUCGGAAAUGGUAGUUGAAGGUUUGGGCAUCGUUUAUGUUAAUGAUUCACAUGAAUGAAGUUGUUAGGACUAUUAAAUAUGUUAAUUCUAUAUUAGGUUUCUGCUACAAUUAGUUGGAGCUUAAAUUGGAGUCAGUUCAGUUGGUGAAGUAGAACUCAAUGGAUGAAAAGGGUCUGUUAGGAGUUAGUGUUUGAGAUGUUAGAAAAAAUUUAUGAUAUGUUGAUGUGAGUGGGUUACUUAGGCGCUAGCACUGUCAGUAUGGUAAUUAGAUUGUUGGAAGGUUAGUUUGAUAGAUUGAAUGGUUAGAAGAAAGUUAGGAUGUGUUGAUUUGGUGAAUGGAAAUGUAAAUUGCAGGUUAUAUGCCUUUUGAGUUGAAUGUUAUGGAGUAAGAUUGAAUGGUUAGAAGAAAGUUAGGAUGUGUUGAUUUGGUGAAUGGAAAUGUAAAUUGCAGGUUAUAUGCCUUUUGAGUUGAAUGUUAUGGAGUUGCAAUGCAAACUAGAUUGCUUGAAUCAUAGUAGCAGAGCACCUACAUAACCGGUUAGCCCCUUUGGUUAACCGGUUACCAACACGACACCUAGCCCCUUUUCCACCUUUGAAUGCAGCAACCUUUGUAUGUGUAUGUGUUUGUGCAGUUUGAACAUGAUGCAGACUGUUAGUAUUAUUAGCUUGGAAAGUUUGAAUGAUGAUAUUAGUAAUGAUGUGAAAACUUGUAGUUAAGGUGAACUUGAAGUGUUGACAGUUAGUGUUAGGGAAUUGAAUGAGUUAGCUAUUGAUUUUUGCAGUUGGUCUCUAUGGAUGCAUUGUCAUGGUCAUUUAGUGAACUUGUUAAAUCCUUGGAAUGUGGUAGUAAAGAUUCUGUUAGUGAGAUGAAACGAAAAAGGAUUAAUGAAAUAGACAAUUGAAAACUGAGCUAGUAUGAACCUAGUUAAGUGGAUUAGAUCAAGGUUAAUGAGUUUUCCCUGUUAGAAAAUUAGGAUUAAUGAGUAACAUCUUAUGUUAGUAGGUAAAUUGGAUUGGUGUGGAACUGACUAUUUAAAAUUGAACUAUUGAUGUUAAUGUUAGGUUGGGGAAAACAGUUAGGAAAUUGAUGCAAGAUGAAUGGUGUAAUGUUUUCUAUUGCACAUGAAUUAGCUGUCAUUUUGAUGUUUGAAUCAAUGUAGACUUGUCAUGAUAUGCCUGGGUUUGUUGAGUUUGAAUCAUGACUUACUUGAUUGUGCAGGUGUAUGUCUAUUGCCAAAAUAUUGAGCUUAUAAUGUCAUGGUCUUGUGUUCCCUUUGCAAGUUUUCUAUAAGUUUGGGCAUGUCACUUUCAAAAUGUACAAAGCAUGGAAACUAAGAUAUGGAUCAUGGUUGGAGACUUGGAAGCUUGAAAGUUCAAUCAUGGAAGAUCCAAAUGGAAUUUUAGAAUAGGAUCAGAUCAAUUGACUUUGGUCAACUGUUUGACCAAAAUGUCAAUAGUUGACCAAAAAUCAAUUGUAGGUCAAAGAUGCAAUCUUGUAUGUAAUCUUGUAGUUAGAUUUUUGUAAUAUGGUUUGAAUGUUUUUGUAAUGAGAAAAUGACUUCUUUUUGAAAUGAACUGCUUGUGUUCUAAGAAAGAGAUUUUCCUCCCAAAGAAUGAAUUUGAAUUAGGAUUUGAAUGAACCUUGAAUUUGAUUUUUUUUGUCUUCAAUCCAAGUUGCAAAUCGUUGAAUU
RNAcentral lists this long non-coding RNA (2484 nucleotides) under Lathyrus oleraceus (garden pea). Its description in RNAcentral is "Pisum sativum (pea) long non-coding RNA (PSAT_LNC003745)". The record is from RNAcentral. Lineage: Eukaryota; Viridiplantae; Streptophyta; Magnoliopsida; Fabales; Fabaceae.